AUUGAACGCUGGCGGCAGGCUUAACACAUGCAAGUCGAGCGGAGACUUCGGUCUUAGCGGCGAACGGGUGAGUAAUACCUAGGAAUCUGCCCAUUAGCGGGGGACAACGUUUCGAAAGGAACGCUAAUACCGCAUACGGCCCUACGGGGAAAGGACAGGGGAGUCUUUUGUACCUUGCACUAAUGGAUGAGCCUAGGCCGGAUUAGCUAGUUGGUAGGGUAAAGGCCUACCAAGGCGACGAUCUGUAGCUGGUCUGAGAGGAUGACCAGCCACACUGGAACUGAGACACGGUCCAGACUCCUACGGGAGGCAGCAGUGGGGAAUAUUGGACAAUGGGCGCAAGCCUGAUCCAGCCAUGCCGCGUGUGUGAAGAAGGCCCUGGUUGU
This 386-nucleotide ribosomal RNA is filed under the name uncultured bacterium. Its description in RNAcentral is "bacterial SSU rRNA". It matches the Rfam family "Bacterial small subunit ribosomal RNA", at positions 30 to 426 of the family's 1533-position model. The record is from RNAcentral.